RNAcentral lists this ribosomal RNA (440 nucleotides) under uncultured bacterium. RNAcentral's name for it is "partial 16S ribosomal RNA". It matches the Rfam family "Bacterial small subunit ribosomal RNA", at positions 338 to 795 of the family's 1533-position model. The record is from RNAcentral.
CCUACGGGAGGCAGCAGUGGGGAAUAUUGCACAAUGGGGGAAACCCUGAUGCAGCGACGCCGCGUGAGUGAAGAAGUAAUUCGUUAUGUAAAGCUCUAUCAGCAGGGAAGAAAAUGACGGUACCUGAGUAAUAAGCCCCGGCGAACUACGUGCCAGCAGCCGCGGUAAUACGGAGGGGGCAAGCGUUAUCCGGAUGUACUGGGUGUAAAGGGAGCGUAGACGGCAGGGGAAGUCUGGAGUGAAAGGCGGAGGCAUAACCCCCGGACUGCUCUUGAAACUGUACGGCUGGAGUGCAGGUGAGGUAAGUGGAAUUCCUGGUGUAGCGGUGAAAUGCGUAGAUAUUAGGAGGAACCCCGAUGGCGAAGGCGGCUUACUAGACUGUAACUGACGUUGAGGCUCGAAAGCGUGGGGAGCAAACAGGAUUAGAUACCCUAGUAGUC